Molecule: ribosomal RNA, 316 nt
Filed under: Ichneumonidae sp. HD-328
Lineage: Eukaryota; Metazoa; Arthropoda; Insecta; Hymenoptera; Ichneumonidae
Description: partial 28S ribosomal RNA
Source: RNAcentral
CGAAUGAGGAGAUUCAUCGUCAGCUUAUUCAGUAUUAAUGCAGGCUAUGAUGUGAUAAUAGAAUCCUUGUGGUCACUAGAUUAUACUUGCUUGUAUUAUUUUUGCUGGGUAUGUCGGCGUGCACUUCUCCUCUAGUAGAACGUCGCAACCCGUUGGAUGUUUAUCUAUGGCUUGAAUGGUAGCCUUUGAUAUUUUUUAUAUUAAAGACCUUCGAUGUCCUGAUAAACUGUUUGACGGUAUACAUAUGGUAUUGAGCCGCAAUUAUUUGCGUUAGACUUGCCGCAAGUAUGACUUUAUUCUAGUAGUGCGGAUCUAA